GUAGACAAUAUCCCAAGGCUACAAGCUCCAGUAUUGACUUAUACACCAGCUGAAGGUGGCGACAAGUUAUACAAGCAUGGGAUAAUCAAUUAGGACAAACUACCAUUUCAUAAUAACAUGAAACUGAACAAGUUCAUCAAGCACAGAUUCUGAAACAGUAUGUACACUUCACCUAAAGUCAUUCUGUCACCUCUUUAUAUGGUAUAAGCAUAUCUUACCAGCAGAGUUACUAAUUAAAUGGGUAACGAGUAUCAUCAUGUCUCCUGUAUACCAAAUGAUUUUAGAAGGCUUAGUUAUGUAUGUGUACAUUAGGCCAGCUACACCAAGACUUUAUGCUAGAGGGCACACCCUUGUACAGAAGAUGCGGUCUUGGAUUUAAACAAAGCCUUAAAUCAUUUGUCUAAGAUUAAGUUUGCUCAGCGCGGUUUGACCAGGAUAGACUUAUAGUGAUUUGUUU
RNAcentral lists this unclassified non-coding RNA (457 nucleotides) under Hevea brasiliensis (rubber tree). Lineage: Eukaryota; Viridiplantae; Streptophyta; Magnoliopsida; Malpighiales; Euphorbiaceae. The record is from RNAcentral.